RNAcentral lists this transfer RNA (88 nucleotides) under Pseudomonadota bacterium. RNAcentral describes it as "Proteobacteria bacterium (groundwater metagenome) tRNA-Ser". It matches the Rfam family "tRNA". From Rfam's summary of the family: Transfer RNA (tRNA) molecules are approximately 80 nucleotides in length. The record is from RNAcentral. Lineage: Bacteria; Pseudomonadati; Pseudomonadota.
GGAGAGGUGACCGAGUGGCCGAAGGUGCACGCCUGGAAAGCGUGUGUACGGCAACGUACCGUGGGUUCGAAUCCCACCUUCUCCGCCA